Molecule: ribosomal RNA, 274 nt
Filed under: uncultured bacterium
Lineage: Bacteria
Description: partial 16S ribosomal RNA
Rfam family: Bacterial small subunit ribosomal RNA
Source: RNAcentral
AUACAGAGGGUGCGAGCGUUAAUCGGAAUUACUGGGCGUAAAGCGCGCGUAGGCGGUCUAUUAAGUCAGAUGUGGAAUCCCAGGGCUCAACCUUGGAACUGCAUCUGAUACUGGUAGACUAGAGUUUUGGAGAGGGAAGUAGAAUUUCAGGUGUAGCGGUGAAAUGCAUAGAGAUCUGAAGGAAUACCAGUGGCGAAGGCGACUUCCUGGCCAAAAACUGACGCUGAGGUGCGAAAGCGUGGGUAGCAAACGGGAUUAGAAACCCUGGUAGUCC